Molecule: ribosomal RNA, 253 nt
Filed under: Holothuria scabra
Lineage: Eukaryota; Metazoa; Echinodermata; Holothuroidea; Aspidochirotida; Holothuriidae
Description: partial small subunit ribosomal RNA
Source: RNAcentral
CAGAGCAGUAUCGUCAACUAAAACUUAAAGAACUUGGCGGUUUUCUAGAUCUCCUUGGAGGAGCUUGUCAUCGAAUUGAUAACCCACAAGACACCUCACCAACUCAAGACUUAUCAGCUUGUAUACCAUCGUCGUCAGCUCACAUCAAAAGAGAGUAAGCCAAAUGGAAAAUACCCACAACGUCAGAUCAAGGUGCAGCUAAUGAGCUGGGGAUAGAUGAGCUACUUUAUUCACAAAACAGAGGAAGUAACCA